This 725-nucleotide long non-coding RNA is filed under the name Anser cygnoides (Swan goose). RNAcentral describes it as "lncRNA (ENSACDG00005008612.1)". Lineage: Eukaryota; Metazoa; Chordata; Aves; Anseriformes; Anatidae. The record is from RNAcentral.
CAGGGCCGUGCCACGGUGCCCCCCCCGCGCCCGCAGUGUCCUCGGUGUGCAGCAGCGCCCCCGGCUCCGGGCCCAGCUCGCCCAACAGCUCCCACGGCGCCAUCGCCGAGAACGGCCUCACCGGCUCCGUGCCCAACAUCCACGCCGAGCAGCUGCUGCCCCAGCCGCGGGCGCUGGCGCUGGAGGGGCAGCUCAGCCUCUACACGUCCCCGUCCCUGCCCAACAUCUCCCUGGGGCUGCAGGGCACCGCCGCCGCCUCGCACCGCACCGCGUCCCCCAAGCUGUCCCCGCAGGCGGAGGCCGAGCGCCCGGCGGUGGCGGCGCUGCGUCCCGGGGCAGCGCUCAGCGCCAAGUUCCUCAGCACCUCGUCCAUCCCCGGCUGCCUGCUGGGGGUGGCGCUGGAGGGGGACCCCCCCGCCGGCCCCGCGUCCCUGCUGCAGCACGUGCUGCUGCUCGAGCAGGCGCGCCAGCAGAGCACCCUCAUUGCCGGUGAGCACCCCCCCCCGAACCCCCCACGUCGCGCCCGGCCCUGCCUCAGUUUCCCCUCCUGGCCUCGGCCCCCCCUGGGGAGCCCACAACCCCCUGGGGGCGUCACUGGGGCCCCCCCAUCACCCUGGGGGUGUCAUCAGGGCUCCCCCAGCCCCCUGGGGGCAUCAUCGGGGACCUCCCCAGUCCCUUGGGGACAUCAUUGGGGGCCCCCCGGUCCCCUGGGGGCAUCAUAGGGG